AGGUUAAAAGUGAACAAAAAGAAAAUGAGGGGGGGGGGGGGGGAGGUAACAGUAAAAGAAAGGCAAACUCUGUUGCCCUAAAACUAUCCUAUAAAUAGCUCACUUUCCUAAACUCUAAAAAAGGAUCAUAAGAUAAGAAAUAGGAAACGGUGGAAAAACUCUCUAUAGCCUGAAAUUGGUUUUCUCUUUUGAAAAGGGUUCUGGAAGUAGUAUUUUUUUCUGAAAUUUUUACUUCUAAGCUGAAAUGAAGCUAGGUUUUGAGCCUGUCUGAGUUGGUUUUGUUCAUUGAUGUUUUGUUCCUGUUGGACCUGCUACUUCUUAGCUUCUUUAAGUUGAUUUUUUAAAGCUCUUUGGUUAAUUUUGCUGUAACAGGUAUGUAUUGUUGAACUUUUCAUGAUUUAUUUGAGCCAUAUAUAUGAAGCUUUGGAUUGUUUGCUGCUGCCUUUUCUUAGAUGUUAUAUGAGUAUGUGGACUGACUUAUAGAUGUUGAGUUUAUUUUGUGCUAUUCCCUUUCUUUUAUGUCUUUUAGCACUUUGGGAGUUUAUCUUAGAAUGUAUGUACUAGAUACUCAUUUAGUGUAAGAAUUCAUUCUAUGAGGAUCUUUUGAGGUGUAAUUUAAAUUGUAUGGUUUGUUUCUAAGCCUGAACUGCAGGGUGGUGCUAAUGGUGACUAAUAUUUUAGGUUAAAAAGGCGGUAUUUGGUUAUUAAGGGUUUUCAAUUGGAUUGUCAUUAAUCUCAGCAUGUUUUUUUUAAAAAUGAUUGUAUGGCUGAACUUAAGGUGAUAUUUUGAAUAAUCUAAUUGGUUCCAUCUUAUUUUUACUAAGUGUUGAUAAUGGUCAGAACCUAGCAUGUUAGACAUUUCAUGGGUAUAAGUCUAAUUAUGUAUGAUGAUGGGUUAGGCCUCAGCAGGUUUUUUUGGUGUGUCAAGCUUUUGGGCCUGACCAUGGCCCAAAUCCGGCUGCCAAGCUAUAGCAAGCCCUCUUGUGUUCCCACCUCCUUUUUAUUUUUUAGCCUGGGCUCGAUUUUGGGUCCUCUUUGCCAAAUGAUUUAAUUGUAGUUUGAUUUCAAUUCAUGGCUUUAGUUGAAUUCGAUUAGAUCUAUUUCCUUUCGUUCUUUUCUUGCCAAUCAAAUGAGCUUUCUUUCAUAAUAUAAGGUAGAUAGACCCAGACGUUGACUGAGGCCCGACUAGAAUAAGUGUGGGUGAUUUAGUUUGAAAUCUUGAUUUGGGCAGAAACUUGAGGCUCUCUUCUCUGCUGGGCUAAUUCACGAGCCCAAAUAUAGCUUUUACAGCUAAUUUGCGCAAACAAAGGGUCAUUGAAAGCCCAAAACAAUUUUUUUUUAAAAGUACAACUCCAGGCCCAGCCUCAUCAUUCUAGUUAAAAGUUUUCUUGAUUGAGCUUCAAAUUUAGUAUAUUUAAUCUUAAUUAAAAAAUGCAACCCUUUUUUUAGGUUAAAAUAAAUUGAGGUGUGCCAUAAGAACCCCAUUAAACCCAUUGACCCUCAUAAAACUAGUUAGCUUUUCAUAGGUAAUUUGAGGUGUGCCAUUUUCAUUAAAUACCCAUGGCCCUCAUGUAAUUAAUUCAAACCUUGUAAAAGUGAGGUGCGCCAUCAAUUAAACUUUCCAUGGCCCUCGUAAUUGUUGUUAAACCUUCAUAGUUGCUUUAGGCGCGUUAUUUAAUUAAUUCAAUCAUGGCUACGGGUACGGUUCCCGUGACGUAGUUGUAAUUUUAAUUCGGGUGUACAUUUCAUGUGACCCAAUUUCAAUUAUCAACAAUGUUAAAUAGAACGUGUCGCGAACCGCGGGUGUAUUUCAUGUAGCGUGGUUCAAGGCAUGUUUUAAAUAACGUUGAAUCUUCCUAAAAACGUUUUAAAAUAAAUAAAAACGGUUAUAAAGUUAAAAUGCAUAAUAGAUUUAAAAUAUAUAAUAAUUCGGAUAAUAGGACAAUUUUAAUAGUUUAAGCGACCGUGCUCAAACCACGGAACCCAGGAGUGCCUAACACCUUCUCCCGGGUUAAUAGAAUUCCUUAUCUAGAAUUUCUGAAUCACAGACUUAUAAAGUAAAGUCGAAUUUUCCUCGAUUUGGGAUUUAAAAUAAACCCGUGACUUGGGACAUCAAAUAAAUAUCCCAAGUAGCGACUCUACAAAUAAAUUAAAUAAUUCCAUUUCGAAUAAUGUCACUUUAAUUGAAAAAAACUCCCUUAUAUACCCCCUUGGGUGGUAAAAAUGGAGGUGUGACACCGAGGGAUCAACUUGCCCUUCUUUUCGAGCCUCAUAACACUCUUUAUGGGCGAAACUUUCAGCAGAACCUUCUCCCUAACCAUGUAAGCAAUAUCACGGACCUUCCUAUUGGCAUAUCUCUUCUGGCUAGACUACGUCGUGCGAAGCCGAGCCUGAAUCAAUUUAACCUUCUCCAAAGCAUCCUAAACCAAGUGAGUUGCCCAAUAGCCUAGCAUCACCCGGCUCAAACCAACCCGCAGGAGAUUUACCCUGCCUCCCAUAUAAAGCCUCAUAUAGAUCUAUCUGAAUGAUCGACUGGUAACUGUCGUUGUAGGCAAACUCUGCGAGCGGCAGAAACUGAUCCCAAGAACCCCAAAAUCAAUGACACAAGUGCGUAGCAUAUUUUCCAAUAUCUGAAUAGUACGCUUGGACUGUCCGUCCGUCUGAGGAGAAAUGAUGUACUCAACUCAACCUGAGUGCCCAACUCUCACUGCACGGCUCUCCAAAACUGUGAUGUAAACUGCGUGCCUCGAUCUGAAUUGAUGGACACUGUCAUGAUAUCGCCUAUCUAGGUACUAGGCAAGCCAACAUUUAUGAAUAACUCCAACAUUUAAAAAAAAAUAGAUUUAAGGCAGUUUAAAAAGCAACUUCUUAUAAAUAGGAUAGAAAGAUCCCAAACACAAUGCGGAUAAACUACUCCCGAAUCGGGGUGUCACACAGUACAUGAGCAUCUAAUGUCACAAGUUUGGAAUACACUAUCUAAGAUAGUCUGAAACUAGAUACAAUAAUAGGAAAGAUAUGGUAGGAUAAAACAAGGGCUACAAAGGCCGGGCAACUUCCUCGAAGACUACCAAGGAUAAACUCACAGAAUAUCAGCACCCACCGUGUCCAAAAAUACCUAGAUCUGCACACGAAGUGUAGGGUGUUGUUUGAGUACAACCAACUCAGUGAAUAACAAGACUAAGUAAGGAACUAAAGAUAGUGACGAGCUACACAUUUAAAGUUCAAUUUCAGUAAUCUCAAUAAGGAAAAAUAGGCAUGCUUUCAAAUCCGGUAAUGUAAGUCAAAUCAGUUUAUACAUGUGAAGUUCAAGUAAAAUCGGAUGUAAUAUCUCUUAGAAAUUUCAAUGCAGUGAUAUAUGACAGCUAAGUGGAAUAAUAAGGAAAUCAAAUGCAUCCUCUUAGAGCAAUAGUCACUCAGCCCUCUCAUUCACUCCAAUCUCACAAUCACUUAUUUCCUCACAGUCACUCGUUCCUCACAGCCACUCAUUCCUCUUAGCCGCUCGGCACGCAACACUCGUACUUAGUAGGUGCCUACGCUCACUGGGGGUGUGUACAGACUCUAGAAGGGCUCCUUCAACUCAAGCUCUAUAUCAAGCCAAUCAUGGCAUAAAUCAACGAAACAUGCUGCGGUGUGCAUCCCGAUCCCAUAAAUAUCCUCACAAUCAAGCCCUUGGCCUCACUUAGUUAUCAAUCUCUUUAGUUUCUCGGGCUCUCACUAAUCAUGAAAAUUAGCCCACACAUCAAUGAUAUGAUGUAUCAACAAGGAAAUAAUAGAGACUGAGAAAUGAUAUACGAGCAAAACUGAGACUGAGUACAAAUAGCAAUUAGCAGGUAAUUUAACAUUUCACACUUCCUCUGUGGGUCCUAACAGUACCAAAACAUAUCCUAAAUAUGAUUUUUAACAUAAUUUACAAUCAAAUUUCUAUAACACAUGGAGAGCAUAUAGCUAACAACAAGUUAUUCAACUUUACAAUUUCAUGGAAUGGACCAUGUCAUGAUUCCCAUUGUGCAUGCCCACAUGCCCGUCACUUAGCAUGUGUGUCACCUCCAAACCAAUCACAUUACACAUAAUUCGAGGUUUCAUAUCCUUAGAACCAGAUUUAGAAUUGUUACUUAACUCAAUCCAAGAAAAUCUCUACUCCAACACACCUUUGCCUCGCGAAUCGGCCUCCAAGUGCCUCGAAUCUAACCACAAACAAUACGAUACAAUCAACACAGGCUAAAGGAAUAAAUUCUACAAGAAAAUACGAGAUUAUAAAUUAAAAAAUCCAAAAUUGGCUCAAAGCCGGUUCCCGGGCCCACGUCUUGAAAUCAAACAAAAGUCACAAAACCUGGAAGCCCAUUCAACUACGAUUCUAACCAUACCAAAUUAAUCAAAAUCCGACACCAUAUCACCACUCAAAUCCCCAAAAUCAACUCUACAAUUCCCUAGCCUCAAACCUCCAAAUUACAUCUAAAAAACACACAAACUAGGUGGAAAAAUCAACGGGGAAACAAGAUUAUUGAUAAAAAACGAGCAUAAGGAACUUACCUAAAAAAUCUCUUCAAAAAUCCUCUCAAAAAUUGCCUAAGCCCGAGUUCAAAAUAUUAGAAAUUGUGAAAUUCUCAAAACCCUCAUUUUUAUAUGUUCUGCCCAGGAUUUCUGCUUUUGCGGACAUUUAGCCGCAUCUACGGUCCCUCAUCCACUUCUGCGGAAAAUCACUUAAUGCGACCAACCGCUUCUGCUGGUGCGCAUCUGCGCAAACCGAUUCCACUUCUACGGACCAAUGGCUCCCAAGCCAAUUCCGCUUCUGCGACCCCUGCCCGUAUAUGCGCAAUCGCAGGUGCGGAAAUCCCAUAGAACCUGCGACCUUUACUGAUAUCCUCCAAAUCCGCACCUGUGCACCACCUGCCGCACAUAUGGCAUCGCACCUACGGCCAAGACCCUCGCAGGUGUGAUCACAUAUGAAAUGCUACAAUUUCAGUAACUUCACAACUCCAAUUCUUGAUCCGUUAACUAACUGGAAUCAACCUGAGGCCCAUGGGACCUACCCCAAACAUAUCAAUAAGUCUUAAAACAUUAUACAAACUUAGUCGAAUCCUCAAAUAAACUCAAACAACAUAAAAAACAUAAAUCGCACAUAGAUUCAAGCCUAAUGAACUUUGAGACUUUCAAUUUCUACAACCGACGCCGAAACCUAUCAAAUCACGUCACGAUUGACCCCAAAAUUUGCACACAAAUGACAUCACGAACCUGCUCCAACUUCCAAAAUUGGAAUCCGACCUCGAUAUUCCACUCCCAGUGAAACUUCCCAAAAUUUAACUUUCGUCAUUUCAAGCCUAAUUCCACUACGGACCUCCAAAUCAUAAUCAGAACACGUCCCUAAGUCCAUAAUUACCCAACAGAGCUAACAGAACUAUCAAACUCUAUUCCGAAGUCGUUUACACAUAAGUCAACAUCUGGUCAACCAUUUCAACUUAAGCUUUGCAUUAUGAGACUAAGUGCCUCAAUUCACUCUGAAAUCCCUUUGGACCCGAACUGACUAACCUAAUAAGUCAUAUAACAACUAAAGCCCAAAAGAAGCAGUAAAUGAGAAAACGAGACAACAACUCUCAAAACGACCGGUUGGGUCAUUACAGUAGGCGACAAUCUACAACACACGCCUCGGGGUGUAGCACUUCCCUGGAUCCUAUGUGAACGUGGGAUGACUUGUGCACCAAGCUGCCUUUUUACUCAAGAGAUUGAAAAUAGUGGUGCAGGUUUGUUCUCUUGAAAUUGGCUCAUGAUAUCAGUUAGUGUUUCUGUCACGACCCAAAUUUUCCACCCUCGAGAACCGUAAUGGCGUCUACUGGUGAAAGCUAAGCAAGCCAAAUUAUUCUAAUUACUUUACCUUUUCUAGUUUUAAACCAUUAUCAGUGAUGAAUAGAUAUCAUGCAAAUAGCGAAAAUAAUUAAGCAGAAGACAAAAUCUGAUAAUUAAUCUUAAUACAAACUACAGAAGUCUAAAUACUACUCUACCCAGAAUUUGGUGUCACAGCUUCACAGACGGUCUAAUAAGACUACAUAUAAACUCUUAAAGAUAAAAUACACACUAUUUUUGAAAUGAGUAAAGGAAACAGGAUAAAGGAAAGAUAGGAGGUGACGCCAAGGCCCGCGGAUGCCUGCAGGACUACCUCGGGUCGCCUGUUGGACUGAAGGCAGCAACCUCACUGCGGUCCGAAAUUUACAACGCUGUGAUCUGCAUAAAAGAGUGCAGAGUGUAGUAUUAGCACAACCGACCCCAUGUGCCGGUAAGUGUCUAGCCUAACCUCGACGAAGUAAUGCCGAGGCUAGGACCAGACUACCCAAUAAACCUGUGCAGUUAUAUCAUAAACAGCGGAAAUAGAAGCAGAUAAUUGCAAUUAAAAUUUGGCAGGGGAAACAUGCUUCGGGGAAUAGCAAAUAACAGAAUAUCAAGAGAAUAUAAAGAAACAAAAAUCCAAUUACUAACACGGAUAGGGAAAACAAAUGUAGAGUUCACUUUCAUAUCACAUCUCGUUGCAGGUGUGCAACCCGAUCCCAUUUCAUGUAUCUCGUUGCAGGCGUGCAACCCAAUCCCAUUUCAUAUAUCUCUUUGCAGGCGUGCAACCCGAUCCUAUUUCACAUAUCUCGUUGCAGGCGUGCAACCCGCUCCCAUUUCACAUAUCUCGUUGCAUGCGUCCAACACGCUCCAAUUUCAUAUAUCUCGUUGCAGGCAUGCAACCCGAUCCCGUUUCAUAUAUCUCAUUGUAGGCGUGCAACCCGCUCCCAUUUCACAUAUCUCGUUGCAGGCGUGCAACCCGCUCCCAUUUCACAUAUCUUCUUGCAGGCGUGCAACCUACUCCCAUUUCAUAUAUUUCCGUGGCGGUGNNNNNNNNNNNNNNNNNNNNNNNNNNNNNNNNNNNNNNNNNNNNNNNNNNNNNNNNNNNNNNNNNNNNNNNNNNNNNNNNNNNNNNNNNNNNNNNNNNNNNNNNNNNNNNNNNNNNNNNNNNNNNNNNNNNNNNNNNNNNNNNNNNNNNNNNNNNNNNNNNNNNNNNNNNNNNNNNNNNNNNNNNNNNNNNNNNNNNNNNNNNNNNNNNNNNNNNNNNNNNNNNNNNNNNNNNNNNNNNNNNNNNNNNNNNNNNNNNNNNNNNNNNNNNNNNNNNNNNNNNNNNNNNNNNNNNNNNNNNNNNNNNNNNNNNNNNNNNNNNNNNNNNNNNNNNNNNNNNNNNNNNNNGCGUGCAACCCGCUCCCAUUUCACAUAUCUCGUUGCAGGCGUGCAACCCGCUCCCAUUUCACAUAUCUUCUUGCAGGCGUGCAACCUACUCCCAUUUCAUAUAUUUCCGUGGCGGUGUGCCACCCGAUCCCAUUUACAAAUCAACAAUAAUCACGAAAGAAUCCCGGCAAGGGAACAAUUAUAUUUCAACAACAUCCCGGCUAAGGAACAAUAAUAUCAAGACAAAUAUCCCGGCAAGAGAACAAUAAUAUGACAAUAACAUCCCGGCAAGGGAACAAUAAUGAUAAUAAUGUCCCGGCAAGGGAACAAUAAUGAUAAUAACACGUGAAGGGCAAUAAAUCACAACGAAGUCAUAACAAUUACAAUACAAGACUCACGGGCAUGCUUGACACCGACGUAUAGAUACUCGUCACCAUGCCUAUACGUCGUUAUCCACAAUUAACACGUAGCAAAUAAGACACGACUCCUAAUCCCUCAAGCUAAGGUUAGACCAAACACUUACCUCGAUGCCACGAACACAAUUCAACCCUCUACUAUCGCUUCACCUCGUGAUUCCACCACCAAUUCGCUCGUAUCUAGCCACAAGUUACUUAAUUACAUCAAUAAAUGCUAAAUGAAACAAUCAUAAUACAUGAAAAUAAGUUUUCUAAAAUUUUUUCCAAAAAGUCAAAAAUCGCCCCCGGGCCCACAUGGUCAAAACCCAAGGUUCGAACCAAAAACCGAUUACUCAUUCCUUCACGAACCCAAAUAUAUAAUUUCUUUUGAAAUCAGACCUAAAUCGAGAUCCAAAUCCCCAAUUUUUGAAAAACCUAGGUUCUACCCAAAACACCCAAUUUUCCCCAUGAAAAUCAUUGAUUGUGAGUUGAAAUCAAGUGAAAAAAUGUUAAAGAUUGAAGGAAACGAGUUAAAAUUGACUUACAAUCGAUUUGGAAGAAAGGUUGCCUUUGAAAAAUCGCCCAAGAGUGUUUUGGUUUUGAAAGAGUGUGAAAAAUUAAAGAUUUUCGGCUAAGUUAUAAAAUUGCAGGUUGCAGAUAUGGGAAUUGUGACCAGGGUUCGCAAUUGCGAACCCGGACUUCUGCUAAGUUCGCAUUUGCGACCAAGGGGGAUUCCAGGCAGUUGUCGCAUUUGCGACAGUCACUUUGCAUUUGCGAAGAAGGCAGCCCAGGCCACAUCUCGCAUUUGCGACGCAUUGCUCGCAUUUGCGAGACCUGCAGGCCUGUAGCAUACCAGCAAUUUCCUAAGUUAAAAUUUCACUUCGUGGCCUAUCCAAAACUCACCCGAGCCCUCGGGACUCCCACCCAAACAUAUACACCAACCUAAAAAUAUUAUACGGACUUGCUCGCGCAUUCAAAAUACUAAAAUAACAUUAACAACUAUGAAUUUAGCAUCAAAAUCAUGAAAUUUCUCAAGAACUUCAAAUUUUCCAUUUUCUCAAAAACGAUCCGAUUCACGUCGUUUCAAGUCUGUUUCUUACCAAACUUCACAGACUUAUCUUAAAUCACAUAUAAGACCUGUACCGGGUGCCGGAACCAAAAUACAGGCCUGAUACCAUUGAGUUUUAAGCUCAUUUCAUUUCUAAAACUCAGAAAUAAUUUCAAAAAACAAUUUUCUUUAAAAAUUCAUUUCUCGGGCUUGGGACCUCAGAAUUCGAUUCCGGGCAUAUGCCCAAGUCCCAUAUUUUCCUAUGGACCCUCCGAGAUCAUCAAUUAUGACUCCGGGUCCGUUUACUGAAAAUGUUGACCGAAGUUAACGUAAAUCCAUUUUACAGUCAAAAUUCAUCAUUUUUCACAGAUUUUCACAUAAUGGCUUUCCGGUUACGCGCUUGGACUGUGCAAGCUAAUCGAGGUGAUGCUGAAAGAGGUUUUUAGGGCCUCGGAACAUAGAAUUCAUUUUAAAACAAGUGAAAAGGUCAUCACAUUCUCCACCUCUAAAACAACCGUUUGUCCUCGAACGAACAUAAGAAGGAAGUACCUGAGUCGGGGAAAAGAUGUGGAUAACGGCUCCGCAUAUCGGAUUCGGACCCCCAGGUCGAUGCCUCAGCAGGCUGACCUCUCCACUGAACACUAACAGAAGGAAAACUCUUCGAUCUAAACUGACGAACCUACCAGUCUAGAAUAACUACCGGCUCCUCCUCAUAGGACAAGUCCUUGUCCAACUGGACAGUGCUGAAAUCUAACACGUGAGAUGGAUCGCCGUGAUAUUUCCGAAGCAUGGACACAUGAAACACUGUAUGCACGGCUGAUAAGCUCGGCGUCAAAGCAAGUGUGUAAGUCACCUCUCCCACUCGAUCAAGAAUCUCAAACGGGCCAAUGAACCUAGGGCUAAGCUUGCCCUUCUUCCCAAAUCUCAUCACGCCUUUCAUAGGCAACACUCGAAGUAAUACUCGCUCACUGACCAUGAAUGCAAAUCACGAACCUUGCGGCCAGCAUGAAUAUUUUUCCGGGACUGAGUCGUAUGAAGCCUAUCCUGAGUAAUCCUGACCUUGUCCAAUGCAUCCUGAACCAGAUCCGUAACCAACAACCGAGCCUCUUCCCACUCAAACCAUCCAACUGGAGACCGACGCCGCCUACCAUACAAAGCCUCAUAAGGAGCCAUUUGGAUACUCGACUGGUAACUAUUGUUGUAGACAAACUCUGCCAAAGGCAAAAACUGAUCUCACGAGCCUCCAAAGUCAAUGACACAAGCUCAGAGCAUAUCCUCCAAAAUCUGAAUAGUCCGCUCGGACUGCCCAUCCGUCUGAGGAUGAAACAUUAUACUCAACUCAACCCGUGUGCCCAACUCUCGCUGAACUACUCUCCAGAAAUGGGAGGUAAACUACGUACCUCAAUCCGAAAUGAUAGACUCGGGCACACCAUGAAUACAAACAAUCUCCCGGAUAUAGAUCUCAGCUAAUUUCUAGGAAGAGUAGGAGACUGCCACAUGAAUGAAAUGUGCUGACUUGGUCAGCCUAUCAACAAUAACCCACACUAUGUUGAACUUCCUCUGAGUCUGUGGGAGUCCAACAAUGAAGUCCAUAGUGAUCCGCUCCCACUUCCACUCGGGAAGCUCAAUCCUCUGAAACUAACCACCAGGCCUCUGAGGCUUGUACUUAACCUGCUGACAGUUCAAACACCAAGCCACAUAUGCAACAAUGUCCUUCUUCAUCCUUUGCCACCAAUAAUGCUGCCAUAAAUCCUUAUACAUCUUCGCGGCGCUUGGAUGAAUAGAGUACCGGGAAAUCUGGGCCUCCUCUAAAAUUAACUCUUGAAGCCCAUCCACGUUAGGCACACAAAUUCUACCCUGCAAUCUCAAAACUCCAUCAUCACCUAAAGUAACCUGCUUGGCACCUCUGUGUUGCACCGUGUCUCUAAGGACACACAAAUGGGGAUCAUCAUAUUGCUGAUCACGGAUACGCUCCAAUAAAGAGGAACGAGAGACCGUGCAAGCUAACACACGAUUGGGCUCAGAAACAUCCAACCUCAUGAACUGAUUGGCCAAAGCCUGAACAUCCAAAGCAAGCAGUCUCUCACCGAUCAGAAUAUAAGCAAGACUACCCAUACUGGAUGACUUCCUACUCAAGGCAUCGACUACCACGUUGACCAUUCCCGGACGAUAUAAGAUGGUGACAUCAUAGUCCUUUAAUAGCUCCGACCACCUCCUCUGCCUCAAAUUUAGCUCCUUCUGCUUGAACAAAUACUGUAGACUCUUGUGAUCUGUGAAUACCUCACAUGCCACGCCAUACAGAUAAAACCUCUAAAUCUUCAAUGCGUGAACAAUGGUUGCCAACUCCAAAUCAUGAAUCAGAUAGGUUUUCUCAUGAAUCUUCAACUGCCGUGAAGCAUAGGCAAUGACCUUACCAUCCUGCAUCAACACCACACCAAGUCCAAUAUGAGAUGCAUCACAAUAAACUGUAUAAGGCCUUGAACCUAUGGGCAAAACCAACAUCGGUGCCGUAGUCAGAGUUGUCUUGAGCUUCUGAAAGCUCGCCUCACACUCGUCCGACCAUCUGAACUGGUGACCCUUCUAGGUCAACCUGGUCAUAGGGACUGCGAUAGAUGAAAAUCCCUCCACAAACCGACGAUAGUAGCCUGCCAAUCCCAAGAAACUCCGGAUCUCUGUGGCUGAUGCUGGUCUAGGCCAGUCUUGACUGCCUCAAUCUUCUUCGGAUCAACCUGAAUACCCUCUGCUGGCACAACAUGACCCAGGAAUGCAACUGAGCUCAACCAGAACUCACACUUCAAAAACUUAGCAUACGAUUGACUAUCCCUCAAAGUCUGAAGAACCACUCUAAGAUGCUGCUCGUGCUCCUCCUGACUAUAGGAAUAGAUCAAAAUAACAUCAAUGAAGACUAUCACGAACGAAUCCAAGUAAGGCCUGAACACUCGAUUCAUUAAAUCCAUAAAAGCUGCUGGGGCAUUUGUCAACCCGAAUGACAUCACCAAGAACUCAUAAUGCUCGUACCGAGGGCUGAAAGUUGUCUUAGGGACAUCGAAUGCCGUAAUCCUCAACUGAUGGUAGCCAGAUCUCAAAUCAAUCUUCGAAAAAUACAUUGGCACCCUAAAUUUGAUCAAACAAAUCAUCAAUCCUCGGUAAUGGAUACUUAUUCUUGAUUGUAGCCUUGUUCAACUGCCGGUAAUCAAUACACAUUCUCAUCGAUCCGUCCUUCUUCUUAACAAACAACACUGGCGCACCCGAAGGCGAAAUGCUAGGUCUAAUGAAACCCUUUUCAAACAUGUCUUGCAACUGCUCCUUCAACUCCUUUAACUCAAGCGGGACCAUACGAUACGGCGUAAUAGAAAUGGGCUGGGUGCCCGGAGCCAAAUCAAUGCAGAAGUUAAUAUCCCUUUUGGGUGGCAUACCCGACAGGUCUGAAGGGAAUACCUUAGGAAACUCACGAACAACGUGCAUAGAAUCAAUAGAAGGAACCUCAGCACUAGAAUCACGGACAUAGGCUAAAUAGGCCAAACACCCCUUCUCGACCAUACGGCGAGCCUUCAUAUAUGAGAUAACACCGCGGGUAUAAUGACCAGGAGUCCCUCUCCACUCUAAACAAGGUAAACCCGACAAGGCUAAGGUCACAGUCUUGGCAUGAAAGUCCAAGAUAGCAUGGUAAGGUGAUAACCAGUCCAUCCCCAGUAUGACAUCAAAAUCAACUAUGUCCAAAAGUAACAAAUCUACACGAGUCUCAAGACCCUCAAUCACCACUAUAUAAGAACGACGGACUCAAUUUACCACAAUAGAAUCACCUACCAGUGUAGACAUAUAAACAAGAUCACUCAAAGAAUCACUAGGCAUGACCAGAUACAGUGCAAAAUAAGAUGACAAAUAGGAGUACGUAGAUCCCGGAUCAAAUAAAACUGAAGCAUCUCUGCUACAAACUAGAACAGUACCUGUGAUAACUGCAUCGGAAACCUCAACCUCGGGUUUGGCUGGAAGAGCAUAACAUUGGGGAUGGGCCCUACCACCCUGAACUACAUCUCUGGGAUGGCCUGCUAUUGGCUGGCCUCCACCCCUAGCGGCCUGAGCUCCACCUCUAAUACCUCUACCUCCACCUCUAUCACCUCUACCCAACCUCUAGCUGGCUGGGCGGGCUGUGGAACACUCGGUGCCUGAGCCAUGGCACGGGAACCCUGAUGCUGAGAGCUGCUCGAUGCUCGAGGGCAAUAUCUAGCAAUGUGCCUCAUGUCGACACAAGUAAAACAAGCCCUCGACUGCUGGGGCUGACGAGCCUGGAAACUCUGAAGCGGCGGUGUACUGAUAGGAGCUGGUGGUGCACUGUAGGUCUGCUGAUCCGAAUACUGCGUAUGAGAUCCACGUCCACCUGAAGCACCGUGAAAAUCCUGAAGUGCUGACUGAAAAGGCCUAGGAGGAUGGCCUCUACCAUAUGAAUCUCUGCCUCCAGACGAGGUACUACUGAAUUGGCCAGAAUGACGAGGCCUCUUGUCAGACCCCUAACCACCUCCCUGCGAUAGAACCAUCUCCUGGCCACAUUGGCCGCCUCUUGGAAAGAAAUCUCACUCCUAGUCUCCUUGGCCAUCUGAUGUCGAAUAGGCUGGAUAAGUCCCUUAAUGAACCUCCUCACCCUUUCUUUCUCAGUGGGAAGUAUGAUAAGAGCAUAACGAGUCAAGUCAAUGAAUCUAGUCUCAUACUGAGUAACAGUCAUAGAACCCUGUUGGAGAUGCUUAAACUGCCUCCGAUAGGCCUCUCUCUGAGUAAUAGGGAGAAACUUCUCCAGAAAUAGCUGAGUAAACUGAUCCCAAGUCAAAGCUGGUGAUACGGCUGGCCUAGCUAAGCAAUAAUCUCUCCACCAAGUCUUGGCGGAUCCAGACAAGCGAAAAGUAGCAAAAUCGACCCCAUUGGUCUCCACGAUCCCCAUAUUCCUGAGAACCUCAUGACAGCUGUCAAGAUAAUCCUGGAGAUCCUCAGAAGAUGCACUGCUGAAAGUAGUAGUGAAGAGCUUGGUGAACCUGCCCAACCUCCACAAAGCAUUGGCAGACAUAGCUGCUGCAUCACCGGUCUGAGCUAUCAUACCCGGCUGAACUACUCCAACUGCCUGAACUGCUGGAGUAUGGAACUGGGGAGCUACCUGCUCCAGAGUGCGAGUAGCAGGAGUCUGGGCUCCUCCUCCAGCCUGAGAGACAGCUGGGGCUACAGGAAGCAAGCUUGCCCAGAUGACACUCUCCAUAAGGCCCACUAGAUGGACCAGAGCAUCCUGGAGUACUGGGGUAGCAAUAAACCCCUUUGGGACAUGAGCUCUACCCCUACCUCGGCCUCUAGCACGACCUCGGCCUCGCCCUCUGCCCUUCGUGGGAGCUGCUGCUCAGUGGAUGAGGAAGUGCGUGUUCUCUCUAUCUGCGAAAGAAUAGAGUAGAAAUUCAAUUAGCAUUGAGAAACCAAAUCGCACGACAUGAAGGAAUAAAUGUGAAGUUUUUCCUAACUCUGUAGCCUCUAGGAGAUAAAUACAGACGUUUCCGUACCGAUCCCUCAGACUCCACUAAUCUUGUCUGUAAACUGUGAGACCCAUGUAACCUAGAGCUCUAAUACCAACUUGUCACGACUCGAAUUUUUCACCCUCGAGAGCCGUGAUGGCGCCUACUGGUGAAAGCCAGGCAAGCCAAAUUAUUCNNNNNNNNNNNNNNNNNNNNNNNNNUUAAUCAUAAUACAAACUACGAAAGUCUAAAUACAACUCUACCCAGAAUUUGGUAUCACAGCUUCACAGACGGUCUAAGAAUACUACAUACAAAGUCUAAAAGAUAAAAUACAUAUUGUUUCUGAAAUGAGUAAAGGAAACAAGAUAAAGGAAAGAUAGGAGAUGUCGCCAAGGCCCACGGAUGCCUGCAGGACAACCUCGGGUUGCCUGUUGGACUGAAGGCAGUAAUCUCACUGCGGUCCGAAGUCUACAACACUGGGAUCUGCAUAAAAGAGUGCAGAGUGCAGUAUCAGCACAACCGACCCCAUGUGCUGGUAAGUGUCUAGCCUAACCUCGGCGAAGUAGUGAUGAGGCUAGGACCAGACUACCAAAUAAACUUGUGUAGUUAUAUCAUAAACAGCGGAAAUAGAAGCAGAUAAUUGCCAUUAAAAUUAGGCAGGGGAAACAUGCUUCGGGAAAUAACAGAUAACAACAGAAUAUCAAGAGAAUAUAAAGAAACAAAAAUCCAAUUACUAACAUGGAUAGGGAAAACAAAUGUAGAGUUUACUUUUAUUUCACAUUUCGUUGCAGGCGUGCAACCAGAUCCCAUUUCAUGUAUCUCGUUGCAGGCGAGCAACCCGCUCCCAUUUCGCAUAUCUCGUUGCAGGCGUGCAACCCGCUCCCAUUUCACAUAUCUCGUUGUAGGCAUGCAACCUGAUCCCAUUUCAUAUAUCUCAUUGCAGGCGUACAACCUGCUCCCAUUUCACAUAUCUAGUUGCAGGCAUGUAACCCGCUCCCAUUUUACAUAUCUUGUUGCAGGCGUGCAACCCGCUCCCAUUUCAUAUAUUUCCGUUUCAGCGUGCCACCCUAUCCCAUUUACAAAUCAACAAUAAUCACGAAAGAAUUCCGGUAAGGGAACAAUUAUAUUUCAACAACAUCCCGACAAGGGAACAAUAAUAUCAAGACAAACAUCCCGGCAAGGGAACAAUAAUAUGACAAUAACAUCAUGGCAAGGGAACAAUAAUGAUAAUAACGUCCCGGCAAGGGAACAAUAAUGAUAAUAACAUGUGAAGCGCAAAGAACUACAACGGAGUCAUAACAAUUACAAUACAAGACUCAUGGGCAUGCUUGACACCGACGUAUAGAUACUCGGGACCAUGCCUAUACGUCGUACUCCACAAUUAAAACUUAGCAAAUAAGACACGACUCCUAAUCCCUCAAGCUAAGGUUAGACCAAACACUUACCUCGAUGCCACGAACAUAAUUCAAGCCUCUACUAUCCCUUUACCUCAUGAUUCCACCACCAAUUCGCUCGUAUCUAGCCAUAAGUUACUUAAUUACAUCAAUAAAUGCUAAAUGAAUCAAUCCUAAUACAUGAAAAAUGAGUUUUCUAAAGUUUUUCCCAAAAAGUCAAAAAUUACCCUAGGCCCACAUGGUCAAAACCCGGGUUCAAACCAAAAUCCGAUUACCCAUUCCCCCACGAAUCCAAAUAUAUAAUUUGUUUUGAAAUCGGACCUCAAAUCGAGGUCCAAAUCCCCAAUUUUUGAAAAACCUAGGAUUUACCCAAAACACCCAGUUUUCCCCAUGAAAAUUAUUGAUUUUUAGUUGAAAUUAAGUGAAAAGAUGUUAAAGAUUGAAGUAUACUAGUUAAAAUUGACUUAUAAUCGAUUUGGAAGAAAAGUUGCCUUUGAAAAAUUGCCCAAGAGUGUUUUGAUUUUAAAAGAGUGUGAAAAAUGAAAGAUUUUCGGCUAAGUUAUAAAAUUGCAAGUCGUAGAUAUGGGAAUUGCGACCAGGGUUCGCAAUUGUGAACACAGACUUCUGCUAAGUUCGCAUUUGCGAAUGCAAUGUCGCAUUUGCGACUGAAGUCUCGCAUUUGCGACCAAAGGGGAUUUCAGGCAGUUGUCGCAUUUGCGACAGUCACUUCGCAUUUGCGAAGAAGGAAGCCCAGGUCAUAUCUCGUAUUCGCGACACAUUGCUCGCAUUUGCGAGACAGGCUUCGCAUCUGCAGGCUUGUAGCAUACCAGCAAUUCCCUAAGUUAAAAUUUCACACCGUGGCCUAUCCAAAACUCACCCGAGCCCUCGAGGCUCCAACCUAAACAUGCACACCAUCCUAAAAACAUCAUGUGGACUCGCUCGUGCAUUCAAAUUACUAAAAUAACAUUAACAACUAUGAAUUUAACAUCAAAAUCAUGAAAUUUCUCAAGAACUUCAAAUUUUCUAUUUUCCUCAAAAACGAUCCGAUUCACGUAGUUUCAAGUCCGUUUCAUACCAAACUUCACAAACUUAUCUUAAAUCACAUAUAAGACAUAUACCGGGCGCCAGAACCAAAAUACGGGCCCGAUACCAUCGAGUUUUCAACUCAUUUCAUUUCCAAAACUCAGAAAUAAUUUCAGAAAAUUAUUUUCUUUAAAAAUUUAUUACUCGGGCUUGGGACCUCGGAAUUCGAUUCCGGGCAUACGCCCAAGUCCCAUAUUUUCCUACGGGCCCUCCGGGACCGUCAAAUCACGGGUCUGAUUUCGUUUAUCUAAAUUAUUGACCGAAGUCAACUUAAAUCCAUUUUACAGUUAAAAUUCAUCAUUUUUCACAGAUUUUCACAUAAUGGCUUUCCGGAUACACGUCCGGACUGCGCACGUAAAUCGAGGUAAUACCGAAAGAGGUUUUUAAGGCCUCGGAAUGCAGAAUUCAUUUUAAAACAAGUGAAAGGUCAUCACAGUUUCUCUAAAAUUUUAAGGUUUAGUCUCAACUCUUAUUUGAGCUAGUUUCAUAUGCAUUUUCCCUAAAAUAUAGCUAACAACUAAAUUGUAUAAGACAUAAUAUGACUGGCUAGUAAUGAAUACUGCAGUAGGAACUGUUUGUAAAUCUGUCCCCAUAUAACUACUAUAUAAACCCCAAAAAAUGGCGGAAAAAGAAUGAGAAUAGCACGCUGAUAAAUAUAUCGUCUUUGUUAUAUGUAAAGCUCACACUUUGCAAAAUUCAUAAUAUCUUACAUAUAUUCACCAUUGGAUGUACAUCCAUAGAAGGAGAGUGCAUAUAUAAUAUAUUCUUCAAACACAACAUUAUUUAUUUCACACGCAGCUAGUUACAACUAGCCAAUAUUGCCAAAUAUUCAUCACGCACACACAGAAAUAUGUAUAUGACAUGUGUGCAUAUAUAUAUAUAUAUAUAUAUAUAUAUAUAUAUAUAUAUAUAUAUAUAUAUAUAUAUAUAUAUAUANNNNNNNNNNNNNNNNNNNNNNNNNAUUCUGAUGAUCCACAGCUUCAAUCACCUGCUUACAUAUCUUAUCGUUUCCAUCUAUAAUCAAUAAAGUUGGAAAACACAGAUGUUAGUCGAUGUUCAAUUGUCUAGUUCCUCAUAUAAAAGAUAUAAACAUCCGGAAUAACAUAUUUUCUUCCUUUGUUUUUCAUUUUCAUUUUCUCCAAAAUUUAUUUGAAGCUCACAAAGAUUGGACGUGCUAUAUUUUUCCUGAAUAAAAUUAUCAUUAAAAAUCUCAAAAGAGCAGUUGGCAUUGUGGAAAACAUUGAAUUAGUAGGGGAAAACAAGCUUAAAAUUGAUUAUAUUGAGUUUGGUAUGAUAAGGAAUUUUCCUUGAGAAAUAUUUUUUUUAAAAAUAUAUUUGGUAAAAAAAUUCAAUGCUUGGUAAUUGGUGAGUGAAAAAUAUUUCAUGUAUAUAUUAUAUUGAAUGCUAGUAAUAAUAUUAGCAAAUAGAGUGUUAAUAAGUUUUUGAGUAUUAUCAAUAAUAUGUCUAACUGUUAGUUGGAUCAAGUAAUAUGAAGUCAAACAUUAAGAUAGUUAUUAGAAAAGUGACUUUCCCAUUUUGAUGCAAAUCAUUUUAUGGUAACCAAAAACAUCAUCAAAUAAUGUUUUCAUGAAAACUUUUUUUAUUGAAUAAAGACUUUUUGACAUAUUAAAUACACUCAAAUGCAAAAACUGAUACAAGUAAAUAAUAUAUAUGUAUAGAGAGAAAAAAUAUGAAUUACAUACCGUCAUUAUAUUUCCAGCUAACAAUCGAACCAACUUUUACGGUUUCACCUUCAUCAAUAUCAAAUUUGUGAACCUUACCAGGACUUAUGUUGGAUAUAUGAUGAGUAUUGGUAUGAAAAAUGUCAUGAAUCAGGUGUCCUCCACACUUCACCUCUACUGAAGCAAUCAACUUCCCUUUCACACCCAUAUUUUCUUCGAUAUAGAAGAAAACUUGAGAAAAGGAAGCGGUGAGAAAAAGUUGAGAGGCUGUAGUCUUUAUAUAGAUUAUGUUCUUAGUUAUUAUUAUUAAAUAUAUUAUGUUCUAGUUAGCUGCAUGAAAAGCUAGUAUAAAACAUGAUCCAUGACAACUCAUGUUUUUUAUUAGUGGAGGUGGAAGAUAAAUGUCAGCUCAUCGCGUGUACUAUUAGAUCAUCGCCAUAAAAUUCUAACCAUUUGGCUUAUUUUCAAAAGGGAAAAGGUCUAAACUUUCCCCUAAUGUAUUCGAUUGAGAUUGGAUUUAUCUUCCAUUAAAAAAGUAGCCUAUUCGUACAAAUUACCCUGCCAAUAUAUAAAUAGUUCAAAUUUACCCUUCUCGGCUAAUGAUUGUGAAUUAUCCAAAUUAAAUGCCACCUGAAAUUUUUUAUUAACUCCUAAUCUAACUAGAGGGUGUUUGGCUAAGCUUAUAAGCUGAUCAAACUAGCUUAUAAACACUUUUCAACUUAUUUACGCGUUUGGUAAGUUAAAAGUGCUUAUAAGUAAAAAAAUAAGCCAAAAGCCAUAAGCUGGUCACCCCAUCUUAUGAAUUUUUAGCUUAUUAGCACUUUAAGUUUGACCAAGAUUUUUACUAUUUUAUCCUUAAAAUAUUCCUCUUUAGAACAAAACUCCUACAUCGGUACUCACUGCCUCAAGUAUUUUUUCAACCUAAACCCCCUCCCCCCUCCCCUUUUCCACCCCGCCUCUUCAAGUUUGCAAUUCUCAUUGACUAUUUAAUAUAAGCAAAUUCUCUAUUCCUUUGCGUAUUUGUAUUUAUGUGAUUGCUUAUUAAUUUUUGAACUAUAUGUAAUAAAUGAGGACAUAUUAAAUUUUUGAUGUAUUGCUUUCUAAGUGUUGUGGUGAUGAAGACAUUGUUUGUUUCUCUUCAAAUAUUUUGUCCUAUUUAGGUUUAUUUUUUAUUGAGAAACUUUGUCAAUUUAUUAAUUAUUAUAACUUAUGAUUAUAUGCUUAUCAUAAAAAUUAUCUUAUCUAAGCAAGGUUGUAUUUAAAAUAAAAUGACAAUAGAAUAUUUUGUAUUUGAAUCGAUCUGGAAUCUAAAAUUUUGAAGAAAUUACACCAUUAUAAGUGUAAACUAUUCUAAGGUUAUUUAAGUCAUCUUAACAGAAAAAGAGCUUAUCAACACUUUUUAAUUAAAUACUGCAUCAACUUAUUAUCAAUUUCAGCACUUGUAUCCAAACACGUAAUUGCUUAUUUAAUAAAUCAGUUUUAGCACUUAAAAGUGCUUUUCAACACAUAAUACUUAUGAGCUAUUUCAAAUGAGCUAAUCCAAACGGGCUCCUAGUAGACCCUCCUCCUUUUCUAUCGGUAGCAACGUCAAAAAGACCAUGUUCUCAUCAGCCGUCGGAGUUAUAUUUCUAGGUCGCGACCAACAAAAUCAAGGCCGUCGUCAGUCAAAAUAUUUUCAAUGAUGGGGAUCUCCUUUUUUUUGGAUCUGAUAAAGGGCUUCAUGGGGUGAAGAAGAUGUGAAACUGUGGCAAAGAAGAUAAAAGAUGAUAAAGUAUCAAGGGGUUGUCAGAGUUCACCUAUGAGAUUUAGUAUUUUUUUUAAUGGUGUUUUGAUUUUAACGGCAGUUGAAAGUUUGUGAGAAGUAAAUUGAGACAAGGAAGAGGUCCACAUUUGCCAUGGGAAAAUGAAGAGAAAGAGGAAGGAAGAAGGAGGUCCCAACCGACAAAUUUUCCAGUAAGGUUCAAGAUGGUGCUCCCAUGGUUGUUGCCCAAUUGUUGUAUACGUGAGGUGCAAAUGUAUUUGUGUAAGAAUAAGAGUGAAGAGAGUAAGGAAAAAGGGGCGGCUAUGAGUUAAAAACUGAGAGAGGGCCCGGUGCAUUAAGUGUCACGAUCCAAAUUUCUCAUCGUCGGAAUCGUGAUGCCGCCUAACAUCGCACUGACUAGGCAAGCCAGCGUUAGAGUUUUAUUCACCUUUUUCCUUUACUUUUUAUAAUUAAAAUUUAGCAGAAACUAAAUCAACGGAAAUAAAAGCGGAAGUACAUAUUUAAUUGAUUAUCCUUAUACUAUUAACAAAAUCGAACGGUUACAACCCAGAAACUAGUGUCACAACUACGAACAUUCUAUGAAUAACUACAAGCAUGGGUUUGAAAGAAAAUACAUCUGUCUCGAAGAAAGUAAAAUAGAAAUGAGAAAAAUAUAGGAGGGGACGCUAGGGCCUGCGGAUGCCUGCAGGACUACCUUGGGUCUCCUGGAUGAAUGCCUGCAACCGACCUUUUGAUCAUUCACAACCAGCUUCGAAAUCUGCACAGAAAGUUCAGAGUGCAGUAUCAGUACAACCGACCACAUGUACUAGUAAGUGCCGAGCCUAACCUCGACGAGGUAGUGACGAGGCUAAGGCUGAGCUUAUACAAUAUAACCUGCAAUAGUAUAUGAUAAAAUAAAAGGAAAUACGGAACGAAUUGAAACACUAACUUGCAGCAAAGUAAAUAUGGAACCCAGAUAUUUUGCCAGUACUCAGCUAUAACCUAUCCUAAAGAGAGUUACAAUGUUGCGGAAUAAAAUCACAUCAGAGGAAGAAUACAUAAACAACAAAAUGAUGCGUCACACAUCCUGAUCCCACCACAUAACAAGUAACAAUAUGAACAUUUACCCUUAUUACUCCUUAUUGUGGUAUGCAACCUGAUCCUACCAGUCCACCCUUAUUACUCCACAAUAUAUCACCCUUAUUCCUCCUAUUGCGGCGUACAACCCGAUCCUACCUAUCCACUCUUAUUACUCCUUGUUGCGGCGCGUAACUCGAUCCCACCAAACAAUCACAUUUCACCCUUAUUCCUCCUGUUGCGGCGUGCAACCCGAUCCCACCAUAUCAGUACCAAUCACAAAAUAAGAACAAGCAUUUCACUAUUUAACUCCAAACCCUCCAUGACAUUUAUAUCUCAAAUCAAAAUAACUGGAAAUCUAUACAAUUAUGAAACUUCAUCAGUUAGUACUACACAGCGAGACCAACCAAAGUGUACCAUGAAACACCAAUAAACCAACUUAAACCAACAAUGUAAUAUAAUGAAACUACAGAACAAUUAAUACCUUCAAUAAAGAAAACAACAUUUAAGAAGAAGCAAUUAGACAUGGAAACAUCAAUACACAAGUAACAGUUAAAACAGGAAAAUAAUAUAUUAGGAACGGGGAAGGGAAUAGGCCAAACAGAUAAUUUGGCGGUGUAUAGGUACUCGUCACCACACCUAUACGCCACACACAUGGAAUUUUACAUAGAAAUUAAGUCGGGGAUCCCUAAUCCCUAGAGUCAAGGUUAGACCAAACACUUACCUCAAGCCAAUGGGUAAUUCAAAGCUCAGUUACAGCUUUCCCUCUCGAUUACAUCUCCAAUCAACUCGUAUCUAGUCAUAAUUAACUUAAUAACAACAUUUAUCGCUAAAGAAAUCAAUUCCAAUGCAUAAUUAUAUGUUUCCCAACAUUUCCCCCAAAAAGUCAAAAAUCGACCCCGGGCCCACUUGGUCAAAACCCGAAAUUUGAAUCAAAACCCGAUUACCCACCCCCGAGCCUGGAUAUACAAUUGUUUUUGGAAUCCGACCUCAAUUUGAGGUUUAAAUCCCCAAAUUUCGAAAUUCCUAAGUUCUACCCAAAAAUCCCCAAUUCCACCAUGAAAACCCUAGAUUCUAGGAUGAAAUCUUGUGAAAAGAAGUAAAAGAUUGAAAGAAAUAAGUUAAGAAUCAUUUACCUAUGAUUUGGGGAAGAACUAGCCUUUAGAAAAUCGCCUCUUGAAGUUUUAGUUUUGAAAAAAGGGAGAAUGAAUGAAAAAUCCCGUCUAAGUAUAAAGUUAUUAGCUGCAGAUGUCGCAUUUGCGACCUUAGCUUUGCAAAUGGGAAGCUCGCAAUUGCGAAGGGACUAUCGCAAUUGCAAAGACUUCACAAUCCUACUGCCAUCGCAAAUGCAAAGAAAGUGUCGCAUUUGCAAACAGUGUUCCUCGCAAAUGCGAGAAAUAGAUCCCAUUUGCGAUCGUACCACUCCCAAUCUCCCUUCGCAUUUGCAAAGGAUUGUUCGCAUUUGCGAACUCUGCUGGCCCAGCCUUCUAAUCGCAAUUGCGAUGAAAGGCUCGUAAAUGUGGACCCUAUAGGGCUCGCAAUUGCGAUGCCUGAUCUCGCAAUUGCGAGAUCAGGGGCCUGCAACAAGCUGAAGCAUGCUAGCAAUAUCCUCUAAGUUCCAAAUCACUCUGUGGCCUAUCCAAAAUCACCCGAGCCCUCGGGGCUCCAAACCAAAUAUUCACACAAGUCUUAAAAUAUCAUACAAACUUACUCGUGCGAUCAAAUUGCUAAAAUAGCAUCUAAAACUACGAAAUUAACACCAAAACACAUGAGAUUAUCAAGAUAGUUCAAAACUUUUAUUUUCUCAACCCAAGGCCCGAAUCACGUCAAAUAAACUCCGUUUUUCACCAAAUUUCACAGACAUGACUUAAAUAUCAUAUUAAACCUAUACCGGGCUCCGGAACCAAAAUACGGGUAUGAUACCGAUGAGAACGCAACAUUAAUCAAUUUUUUUAAAUCCUUAUUAUUCCAGUUUAACAAUUUCAUCAAAAAAUUAUUCCUUGGGCUAGGGACCUCGAAAUUUGAUUCCGGGCAUACGUCCAGGUCCCAUAUUUUACUACGAAUCCUCCGAGACCGUUGAAAUACAGGUCCGGGUCCGUUUACUCAAAAUGUUCACCAAAGUCAACUAAAAUCAACUUUUAAAGACAAAAAUUAUUAUUUUCUCAAAUUUCCACAUAAAGGGUUUUUGGAAUCGCGCCCGGACUACACGCGUAAAUUGAGGAGAGAUAAAAAAUGAUUUUAAUGCCUCAAAAUGCGGAUUGGAGUUCUAAAACAGAAGAUGACCUUUUGGAUAAUCACAUUCUCCACCUCUAAAAUAACCAUUCGUCUUCGAAUGGACAUAGAAAAGUACUUGAGUCGGUGAAAAGAUGGGGAUAUCUGUUCCGCAUAUCAGACUCAGACUCCUAGGUAGCUGCAUCAACAGGCUGACCUCUCCACUGCACAUGAUCCGAAUGAUAACUCUUCAUUCUCAACUGACAAACAUGCUGGUCUAGAAUAGCUACCGGUGCCUCCCAUAGGUCAAAUUCUCGUCCAACUGGACAGUGCUGAAGUCUAACACGUGGGAUAGAUAGUUGUGAUACUUCUGAAGCAUGGACACAUAAAACACUAGAUGCACUGCUGAUAAACCUGGUAGCAAUGAAAGUCAGUAAGCCACCUCUCCCACUAGAUCAAGGAUCUUAAAAAGCCCGAUGAACCUAAGGUUUAACUUGCCCUUCUUCCCAAAUAUCAUCACGCCCUUCAUGGGCGAUACCCGAAGCAACACUCUCUCUCCGACCAUAAAUGCUACAUCACGAACCUUACGACCGACAUAACUCUUUUGCCUGGACUGAGCUGUACGAAGUCUAUCCUGAAUGAUCUUAACCUUAUCAAAGGCAUCUUGUACUAGAUUUGUACCCAAUAACCGAGCCUCCCCCAAAUCAAACCACCCAAUCGGCAAUCAACAUCGUCUCUCAUAUAAUGCCUCAUAGGGAGCCAUCUGGAUGCUCGACUGAUAACUCUUGUUGUAGGAAAACUUUGCUAACGGAAAAGUUGAUCCCAAGAACCUCUAAAGUCAAUAACACAGGCGCAAAACAUUUCCUCCAAAAUUUGAAUAGUAUGCUCGGACUGUCCAUCCGUAUGAGGAUGAAAUGAUGUGCUCAACUCUACCCGCGUACCCAAUUCAUACUGUACUGCCCUCCAGAAAUAUGAGGUAAACUGCGUACCUCGAUCAGAAAUGAUAGCCACGGGCACACCAUGGAGACGAACGAUCUCAAGGAUAUAGAUCUUUGCCAACCGCUCCGAAGAAUAGGAAAUUUCCAUAGGAAUGAAAUGUGCCGACUUAGUCAGCCUAUCCACAAUGACCCAUAUUGUAUCGAACUUCCUCUGAGUCUGUGGGAGUCCAACAACGAAAUCCAUAGUGAUACGCUCCCACUUCCACUCAGGAAUUUCAAUCUUCUGAAGCAAAUCACCAAGUCUCUAAUGCUCAUACUUUACUUGCUGACAAUUCAAACACCAAGCUAAAUAUGCAACAAUGUCCUUCUUCAUCCUCCUCCACCAAUAAUGCUGCCGCAAGUCCUGAUACAUCUUAGCGGCACUCAGAUGAAUAGAAAACCGGUAACUGUAAGCCUCCUCUAGGAUCAACUCACGAAGUCCGUCCACAUUAGGCACACAAACACGACCUUGCAUCCUUAAAACUCCAUCAUCUCCCACUGUAACCUGCUUGGAAUCUCCGUGCCGUACUGUCCCUAAAGACAAGCAAAUGAGGAUUAUCAUACUACUGAUCUCUGAUACGCUCAAACAAGGAAGACCAAGCGACUAUACAGUCUAGAACACGACUGGGCUUAGAAACAUCCAACCUCACGAUCUGAUUGGCCAAAGCCUAAACAUCUAAUGCAAGGGGUCUCUGACCGACUGGAAUAUACGCAAGGCUGCCCAAACUAGCUGACUUCCUACUCAAAGCAUCGUCCACCAUAUUGGCCUUCCCGGGAAGAUACAAUAUGGUGAUAUCACAGUCUUUCAAUAGCUCCAACCACCUUUAUGCCUCAAAUUGAGCUCCUUCUAUUUGAAUAAAUACUACAAACUCUUAUGAUCCGUGAAUACCAUACACGACAUGUCAUAUGGAUAGUGACUCCAAAUCUUCAGCGCGUGAACAAUGGCUGCUAGCUCCAAAUCAUGAACUAGAUAAUUCUUCUCGUGAAUCUUCAACUGCCGCGAAGCAUAUGUAAUAACCUUGCCACCCUGCAUCAGUGUUGCACCAAGUCCAAUAUGAGAUGCAUCACAAUAUACUGUAUAUGGCCCUGAACCUAUGAGUAACACUAACACCGGCACGAUAGUCAAAGCUGUCUUGAGCUUCUGGAAGCUCACCUCACACUCAUCUAACCAUCUGAACAGGGCACCCUUCUGGGUCAACUUGGUCAUCAGGGCUGCUAUGGAUGAAAACCCCUCCACAAACUGACGGUAGUAACCCCCCAAACAUAGCAAACUCUGGAUCUCUGUAGCUGAUGUGGGUCUAGGCCAGUCCUUGACUAUCUCAAUCUUCUUAGGAUCCACCUGAAUACCCUUUACUAACAUGACCCAAGGAAGCAACUGAACCCAACCAAAACUCACCUUUCGAAAACUUAGCAUAUCACUGGUUGUCUCUCAGAGUCUGAAGAACGACUCAAAGAUGCUGCUCAUGCUUCUCUCGGCUGCGGGAGUAGAUCAAGAUAUCAUCAAUGAAAACAAUCACGAAGGAAUCUAUAUAGGGCUUGAACACCGGUUCAUCAAAUCCAUAAAUGCUGCUGGGCAUUUGUCAAUCCAAAUGACAUCACUAGGAACUCAUAAUGCCCAUACCGAGUCCAAAAGGCUGUCUUAGGGAUAUCGGAUGCCCUAAUCCUGAACUGAUGGUAGCCAUAUCUCAAAUCAAUAUUCAAAAACACUUUGGCACCCUAAUGCUGAUCAAAUAAGUCAUCAAUCCUCGACAAUUGGAUACUUGUUAUUGAUGGUGACCUUGUUCAACUGCCGAUAGUCUAUGCACAUCCUUGUCGACCCAUCCUUCUUCUUUACAAACAAUGCUGGCGCACCCUACGACAAGACACUAAGUCUAAUAAAGCCCUUAUCAAGCAAAUCUUUCAACUGCUACUUCAAUUCCUUCAACUCUGGCGGGCCAUACGGUAUGGCGGAAUAGAAAUGGGCGGAGUGCCCGAAGCCAAAUCAAUGCAAAAGUCGAUAUCCCUGUCAGGUGGCAUCCCCAACAGGUUUGUAAGAAAUACCUUUGGGAACUCCCGAACAACUGGUACAGAAUCUUUGGAAGGAACCUCUGCACUAAAUCACGAACAUAAGCCAAGUAAGCCAAACACCCCUUCUCGACCUUACGACGAGCCUUCAUAUAAGAAAUAACCAUGCUAGUAGAAUGACCAGGAGUCCCUCUCCAUUCUAAAUGAGAAAACCCUCGCAAGGCUAAGGUUACAGUCAUGGCAUGGCAGUCUAAUAUAGCAUGAUACGGUGAUAUCGAAUCUAUCCCCAAAAUGACAUCGAAAUCAACCAUAUCGAGAAGUAGGAGAUCUACGCUAGUCAAGAACCCUAAUAAUAACCACACAUGAACGAUAUAGACGAUCUACAACAAUAGAAUCCCCCACCUGUGUAGACGCAUACACGGGAGCACUUAAAGAAUCACGAGGCAUAACCAAAUAUGAAUAAAAUAUGAUGAAACAUAGGAGUAUGUAGACCCUGGAUAAAAUAGAACUGAAACAUCUCUACUACAAACCGAAACCGUACUUGUGAUAACAACAUCGGAUGCCUCAACCUCAGGCCUGGCUGGGAAGGCAUAACACCCAGGCUGGGCCCCACUAAUCUGAAUCAUAUCACUGGGACGGCCUGCUGUUGGUUGGCCUCCACCUCUAGCGGCCUGACCUCCACCUCUAAUGGCCUGACCUCCACCUCUAGCGAGUUGACCCCUACCUCUAGUUCCCUAUCCCCUACCUCUAGAUGGCUAAGCGAGCGGUGCUGGGAUCAUGGCACGAGAACUCUACUGCUGUGACUGAACAACCAAUAAUCUCGAACAGGUCCUAUGGAUAUGCCCAUACUCACCACAUUCUAAGAAUCCAUCUGAAUACUGCAGGUGAGGAAACUGAGACUAACUCUGAUGAGCCGGCUGACCGCAAUAAAAACUCUAAAGAGGAGGUGCUCUGAUAGGAGCUGGCGGUGCACUAUAAGCUGGCCACCCUGAAGGAGGUACAUAAGGACCACGACCCCCCCCGAAGCUCCAUGGGAUGUAUGAAGUGUUGAAUGAAACAACCUAUGAUUACGACCUCUACCAAAAGUACCCCAACCUCCAGAUGAGGCCCCACUGAAUCCACCAGAAUGACGAGGCCUCUUGUCAGACCCCUGACCACUCACCUGAGCUAAAACCAUCUCAACUCGUCUAGCCACAUUGGCCGCAUCCUGGAAAGAAAUCUCACUCCAUGUCUCCCUAGAAAUCUGCAAUCUGCAAUCUGAGAGGCUGAGCAAGUCCCUCAAUAAACCUUCUCACCCUCUCUCUCUCGAUGGAAAGUAUAAGAAGAGCAUGACAGGCCAAAUCAACAAAUCUGGUGUCGUACUGAGUGACGAUCAUAGAACCCUACUGAAGACGCUCGAAUUGCCUCUAAUAAUCCUCUCUCUGAGUGAUAGGAAGAUACUUCCUAAAAAAUAGCGGAGAGAACUGGUCCCAAGUGAGAGUUGGCGACCCACCUGGUUUGGCCAAACAAUAAUCCCUCCACCAUUUCUUGGCGGAACCUAACAGACGAAAACUACCAAACUCGACCCUAUUGGUCUCCACUAUCUGCAUGUUCCGUAAUACCUCGUGACAACUGUCCAAAGAGUCCUGGGGAUCAUUUGAAUAUGUACCACCAUAGGUAGUGGUGAAAAUCUUGGUAAACCUAUCCAAUCUCCACAAGGCAUCAGAAGACAUAGCUGAUCCGUCGCCGGUCUGGGCUACAACACCCGGCGGAACUACCCCAACUGGCUGAGCUGCUAGAGUCUGAAACUGAGGAGCCAUCUUCUCCCGAGUGUGAAUAGCGGGAGUUUGUGCUCAUCCCCCAGCCCAAGAGACGGUUGGUUCAAACCAAAACCCGAUUACCCAUUCCCCCACGAAUCCAAAUAUAUAAUUUGUUUUGAAACCAGAUCUCAAAUCGAGGUCCAAAUCCCCAAUUUUUGAAAAACCUAGGAUUUACCCAAAACACCCAAUUUCUCCCAUGAAAAUCAUUGAUUUUGAGUUGAAAUCAAGUGAAAAGAUGUUAAAGAUUGAAGUAAACUAGUUAAAAUUGUCUUAUAAUCGAUUUGGAAGAAAAGUUGCCUUUGAAAAAUCGCCCAAGAGUGUUUUGAUUUUAAAAGAGUGUGAGAAAUGAAAGAUUUUCGGCUAAGUUAUAAAUUGUAGGUUGCAGAUAUGGGAAUUGCGACCAGGGUUCGCAAUUGCGAACACAGACUUCUGCUAAGUUCGCAUUUGCGAAUGCAAUGUCACAUUUGCGAAGUCGCAUUUGUGACUGAAGUCUGGCAUUUGCGACCAAGGGAACUGGUCCCAAGUGAGAGCUAGCGACCCACCUGGUUUGGCCAAACAAUAAUCCCUCCAUCAUUUCUUGGCGGAACCUGACAGACGAAAACUACCAAACUCGACCCUAUUGGUCUCCACUAUCUGCAUGUUCCGUAAUACCUCGUGACAAUUGUCCAAAGAGUCCUGGGGAUCAUUUGAAUAUGUACCACCAUAGGUAGUGGUGAAAAGCUUGGUAAACCUAUCCAAUCUCCACAAGGCAUCAGAAGACAUAGCUGAUCCGUCGCCGGUCUGGGCUACAACACCCGGCGGAACUACCCCAACUGGCUGAGCUGCCAGAGUCUGAAACUGAGGAGCCAUCUUCUCCCGAGUGUGAAUAGCGGGAGUCUGUGCUCAUCCCCCAGCCCGAGAGGCGGCUGGUGCUAUGGGGAAUGUACCGGCCUGAGCAACACUCUCUAUAAGGCCCACUAGACGGACCAAAUCAUCCUAAACUGCCAGGGUAGCGAUGAACCCCUUUGGGACCUGAGCUGGCCCCCCUGGAACGGUCUUGUUGUACCAUGAAGCACCAAUAAACCAACUUAAACUAACAAUCUAAUAUAAUGAAGCUACGGAACAAUUAAUACCUUCAAUAGAGAAAACAAUAUUUAACAAGAAGCAAUUAGACAUGGAAGCAUCAACAAGUAAGUAGCAGUAAAAAUAGGAAAAUAAUAUAUUAGGAACGAGGAAGGGAACAUGCCAAACAGAUAAUUUUGCAGUGCAUAGAUACUCAUCACCACACCUAUACUCCACAGACAUGGAAUUUAACAUAGCAAUUAAGUCGAGGAUCCCUAAUCCCUCGAGUCAAGGUUAAACCAAACACUUACCUCAAGCCAACAGGUAAUUCAAAGCUCAAUUACCGCCUUCCCUCUCGAUUCCACCUCCAAUCCACUCGUAUCUAGUCAUAAUUAACUUUAUAACAUCAAUUAUCGGUAAAGAAAUCAUUUCCAAUGCAUAAUUAUUGGUUUCCCAAUAUUUUUCACAAAACGUCAAAAACCGACCCCGAGCCCACUGGGUCAAAACCUGAAAUUCGGACCAAAACCUGAUUACCCAUUCACCCCGAUCCCGAAUAUACAAUUAGUUUUGGAAUCCGACCUCAAUUUGAGGUCUAAAUCCCAAAAUUUUGAAAUUCCUAAGUUCUACCAAAAAAUUCCCAAUUCCACCAUGAAAACCCUAGAUUCUAGAAUGAAAUCUUGUGAAAAGAAUCAAAAGAUUAAAAUAAAUGAGUUAAGAAUCAUUUACCUGUGAUUUGGGGAAGAACUAGCCUUUGGAAAAUUGCCUCUUGAAGUUUAGGUUUUGAGAAAUGGGAGAAUGAAUGAAAAAUCCCGUGUAAGUCUAAAGUUAUCAGUUGAAGAUGUCGCAUUUGCGACCGGAGCUUCGCAAAUGCGAAGCUCGCAAUUGCGAAGGGAUUAUCGCAAUUGCGAAGCCUUCACAAUCCUGCUGCCAUCGCAAAUGCAAAGAAAGUAUCGCAUUUGCGAACACUGUUCCUCGCAAAUGCGAGAAAUAGAUCGCAUUUGCGAUAGUACCCCUCCCAGUCUCCAUUUACAUUUGCGAAGGUUUGUUCGCAUUAGCGAACUCUGCCGGCCCAGCCUUCUAAUCGCAAUUGCGAUGAAAGGCUCGCAAAUACGGACCCUGCAGGGCUCGUAAUUCGAUGCCUGAUUUCGCAAUUGCGAGAUCAGAGGCCUACAACAAGCUAAAGCAUACCGGCAAUAUCCUCUAAGUUCCAAAUCACUCUGUGGCCUAUCCAAAACUCACCCGAGCCCUCGGGGCUCCAAACCAAACAUGCAUACAACUCUUAAAACAUCAUACGAAUUUGCUCGUGUGAUCAAAACACCAAAAUAACGUCUAAAACUACGGAUUUAUCACCAAAACACAUGAAAUUUUCAAGAUAGUUCAAAACUUCUAUUUUCUCAACCCAAGAUCUGAAUCACGUCAAAUAAACUCCGUUUUCACCAAAUUUGACAGAUAUGACUUAAAUAUCAUAUUAAACCUAUAUCGGGCACUGGAACCAAAAUACGGGCCCGAUACCAACGAGAUCACACAUUAAUCAAUUUCUUUAAAUCCUUAUUAUUCCAGUUUAACAAUUUUCAUCAAAAAUUCAUUUCUCGAGCUAGGGAUCUUGGAAUUCGAUUCCGGGCAUGUACCUAGGUCCUAUAUUAUACUACGGAUAUGCCGGGGCCGUCGGAACACGGGUCCGGGUCUGUUUACUCAAAAUGUUGACCGAAGUCAACUAAAAUCAACUUUUAAAGGCAAAAAUUAUCAUUUUCUCAAAUUUCCACUUAUAGGCUCUUCGGAAUCGCGCUCCGACUGCGCACGCAAAUUGAGGAGAGAUAAAAUGAGGUUUUUAAGGCCUCGGAAUACGGAUUCGAGUCCUAAAACAAAAGAUGACCUUUUGGGUCAUCACACUAAGCUCCCGUUAUGCGCCGGGUCCGGGGAAUUACCGGACCACAAGGGUCUAUCGUACGCAGCCUUACAUUGUAUUUCUGCAAGAGGUUGUUUUCACGACUCAAACCCAUGGCCUCCUGAUCACCUGACAGCAACUUUACCAGUUACACCAAUAAUCCCCUUCGAGUUAGAAACUGAGAGAGAAUGAUGAAAACUAGUGUUUGAUAGAUAGGAGGCAUUUAAUUAAUUGUAUUAGAAUAUUUUUAAAAAGAAAAAUAGAAAAACAAUUUUUAAUUUGGCUAGUUCACUUGUGUUGGCCAAAAAGGGUAAAUCUGAGCCAUUUGUGUAACGGCAAGGUAAGAAUAUGCCAUUUUUGUGGAAGGAUAAAUCUACUCUAAAUCAUCUACUUUAUGGGUAAAUUUAGACAUUUUUCCUUUUAAAAAUGCGGAAGAUAAAGUUUAUAGAUUGCCAUAAGGGAUUCAUUUUAUAGUCAAGUUUGAAACUUUCAACUAAGAUUCUUUACUUAAGUCCCAAAAAAGUAUGAAUUAGUUUUACUAUUACUGUUAUUUAAAAGUUGUAAUUGCUCUCUAUACUUUUUUGUUCUUUUAGCUUAACUUCAUAACAAUAUUAUAUAUAUUCAUGGUAGAAAAAGAGAUGGAGAUCUGAAUUAUAUGGAACACGAUGCAUUAUUCAUGAGAUAAGUCAAGCAGUCUUAAGAUUCUUUUCUCAUGUUAUUAAGCACGAGGAGUUAAGUUGGAGGUUCAACUUUAAAACCAAUCUACCUAAUACCAACUCAAAGCGAAAAAGCGGGAAGAAAAGUCGUUUAGAAGAAAUUAUUGAUCCUUAAUAAAUUACAAUAUUAAAAAAAAAUUAUAUCUAUUUAAGGUGGAGAAAGAGAUAGAUACGUGAUUUAUAAUGGAAAAGGAUGCGUUGUCCAUGAAACAUUUUGUUCAUGGUAUUAAUGGUAGUAAUUGUUGAGGAACAAACGUUAUAUAGAAGAACUAAUCUAGCUACUUACUUCACUCUAAGGAAAAAUAAAAGCAUUGUGAUAUUUGUCUACAAAUGUAUAUUUUUUAGUGCAUUGUUUAGCUUACAUUUUGAUGUUUAAUAUUACUAUGUGCAACGUUUGAACUUAAUUAAGUAAUUUUUAUGUGUAGGAUCAUUGAAAUAUAAAGAAGAGUGAAGAUUGCACACAAGAAUCUCGAUAAUACAAGAAAAAGAGCAUGAAAAAGCGAAACCGGAAGAAGCCAAGAUCCAGGCACCAGAUCAGGCGACGCCUGGCUCCUGCUGACCAAUAUCUUGCACCCAGCCUCGUGAGGCGAGGUUCCCUGUGCGCACUGGGCCUCAUGAGGUAUGGUGCCUAGUACUCCCCCAGUCCGUGAAUUAAAUAUUUUCUACUCGGUUUUGGACUUAGAGACUCCGACUCUAACCUAUAAAUACUUCUUAAACGUGCUUAGUGAAGGGUUGAACGAUUUUUUAGGCAACGAGGGAUUAGGAACGCAAUGGAGCACAAAUUUCAUUGUUUCUUCCAUCCUCCAUCUCGUAUUCAUAGCUUUUAUGUUUAAAAAUAAUACUUUGAUUGUUGUUACGAACAUGAGUGGCUAGAAACCCAUUUGUUCCGGAGUUAUGGUUUGUUAUUGACUAUUAUUGUUUGAUGGUUGAUGAUAUCACAUGAUUCUA
This 32678-nucleotide long non-coding RNA is filed under the name Nicotiana tabacum (common tobacco). RNAcentral describes it as "long non-coding RNA (NTAB_LNC016783)". Lineage: Eukaryota; Viridiplantae; Streptophyta; Magnoliopsida; Solanales; Solanaceae. The record is from RNAcentral.